RNAcentral lists this ribosomal RNA (482 nucleotides) under uncultured bacterium. RNAcentral describes it as "partial 16S ribosomal RNA". It matches the Rfam family "Bacterial small subunit ribosomal RNA", at positions 28 to 507 of the family's 1533-position model. The record is from RNAcentral.
GAUGAACGCUAGCGGCAGGCCUAAUACAUGCAAGUCGAACGAGAUUAAGAGGCUUGCUUCUUAUGAAAGUGGCGCACGGGUGCGUAACGCGUAUGCAACCUACCUUAAUCAGGGGGAUAGCCCGAAGAAAUUCGGAUUAAGACCGCAUAAAAACACAGGAUAGCAUUAUCCAAUGUUCAAAUAUUUAUAGGAUUAAGAUGGGCAUGCGUGUCAUUAGCUAGUUGGCGGGGUAACGGCCCACCAAGGCGACGAUGACUAGGGGAUCUGAGAGGAUGAUCCCCCACACUGGUACUGAGACACGGACCAGACUCCUACGGGAGGCAGCAGUAAGGAAUAUUGGUCAAUGGAGGGAACUCUGAACCAGCCAUGCCGCGUGCAGGAAGACAGCCCUCUGGGUCGUAAACUGCUUUUAUUCGGGAAUAAACCUUUCUACGUGUAGGAAGCUGAAUGUACCGAAGGAAUAAGGAUCGGCUAACUCCGUG